Molecule: non-coding RNA, 73 nt
Organism: Podarcis lilfordi (Lilford's wall lizard)
Lineage: Eukaryota; Metazoa; Chordata; Lepidosauria; Squamata; Lacertidae
Source: the annotation of a GenBank genome assembly
ACCUUAGUAGCUCACUUGGUAGAGCAUGAGACACUUAAUCUCAGGGUCGUGGAUUUGAGCCACACCUUGGGCA